Molecule: unclassified non-coding RNA, 339 nt
Filed under: soil metagenome
Description: partial contains 5.8S ribosomal RNA, internal transcribed spacer 2, and large subunit ribosomal RNA
Rfam family: 5.8S ribosomal RNA (bases 1-120)
Source: RNAcentral
GAUGAAGAACGUAGCGAAAUGCGAUAAGUAGUGUGAAUUGCAGAAUUCAGUGAAUCAUCGAAUCUUUGAACGCACAUUGCGCCCCUCGGUAUUCCGUGGGGCAUGCCUGUUCGAGCGUCAUUUAACCCCUCAAGCCUAGCUUGGUCUUGGGUGCUUGUCCCGCCUCUCGCGCGGCGACUCACCUCAAAGUCAUUGGCAGCCCGCAUCUCGCCGGCCGUGAGCGCAGCACAGACGCGCUCUUGGCAACGACGGAUCGGCUCUCCAAAAGCUUAUUUCAACCACUGACCUCGGAUCAGGUAGGGAUACCCGCUGAACUUAAGCAUAUCAAUAAGCGGAGGA